Molecule: long non-coding RNA, 348 nt
Filed under: Phoenix dactylifera (date palm)
Lineage: Eukaryota; Viridiplantae; Streptophyta; Magnoliopsida; Arecales; Arecaceae
Description: long non-coding RNA (PDAC_LNC013810)
Source: RNAcentral
CGGAGCUGCUCUGGAUCAAUAUGGACCUCCAUAGAUGGUGGAGCUAAGGAGGAAGGUCCGGCAGAGGUGGUAGGAGCAGGAGGAGUGGAUGGAAGGUCUGAAAAGUCUGGGUAGUCUGAAUCUGGCUCAGGACUGGGUGAUGGUCUGGUGGUCUGAGCAGUGAGAGUGGACUUCCUAACCCAGAUCCCUUCUCUCUUUCGAAAUUCCAUCCUGUGCAUGGUCCCCGUACCCAAGCGAUCUGUCCAUCGCAGUGCACGAGAGGGUUCCCUCUCAGAAAUGGGAAUCUCGUACUGCCUAAAGAGAAGAGUAAAAAUCAUGCCGUAUGGGAGGGUGAGCCUAGGUCUAUCU